This 476-nucleotide ribosomal RNA is filed under the name uncultured bacterium. Its description in RNAcentral is "bacterial SSU rRNA". It matches the Rfam family "Bacterial small subunit ribosomal RNA", at positions 335 to 800 of the family's 1533-position model. The record is from RNAcentral.
ACUCCUACGGGAGGCAGCAGUGGGGAAUAUUGCACAAUGGGGGAAACCCUGAUGCAGCCAUGCCGCGUGUGUGAAGAAGGCCUUCGGGUUGUAAAGCACUUUCAGUAGGGAGGAAGGUAGUGUAGUUAACACCUGCAUUAUUUGACGUUACCUACAGAAGAAGCACCGGCUAACUCCGUGCCAGCAGCCGCGGUAAUACGGAGGGUGCGAGCGUUAAUCGGAAUUACUGGGCGUAAAGCGCAUGCAGGCGGCCUGUUAAGUCAGAUGUGAAAGCCCGGGGCUUAAACCUCGGAAUUGCAUUUGAAACUGGCAGGCUAGAGUCUUGUAGAGGGGGGUAGAAUUUCAGGUGUAGCGGUGAAAUGCGUAGAGAUCUGAAGGAAUACCAGUGGCGAAGGCGGCCCCCUGGACAAAGACUGACGCUCAGAUGCGAAAGCGUGGGGAGCAAACAGGAUUAGAUACCCUGGUAAACACAGAGC